Molecule: transfer RNA, 90 nt
Filed under: bacterium
Lineage: Bacteria
Description: tRNA-Ser
Rfam family: tRNA
About the family: Transfer RNA (tRNA) molecules are approximately 80 nucleotides in length.
Source: RNAcentral
GGAGAGGUGCCGGAGUGGCCGAACGGGGCAGGUUGCUAACCUGUUGUCUUCCGAAAUGGGGGACCGCGGGUUCGAAUCCCGCCCUCUCCG